RNAcentral lists this ribosomal RNA (594 nucleotides) under Pseudorchestoidea brito. RNAcentral describes it as "bacterial SSU rRNA". It matches the Rfam family "Eukaryotic small subunit ribosomal RNA", at positions 638 to 1138 of the family's 1831-position model. Lineage: Eukaryota; Metazoa; Arthropoda; Malacostraca; Amphipoda; Talitridae. The record is from RNAcentral.
AUCUACUCAGAGUGCUUGGGUGGAGGUAUGUGUCUGGGGCCGUGAGCGUGCGUUUCGUGCGUGCGUUCUCGCGCUUGAGCGCUUCCUCUGUUGCUCACCUCUGUGCUCUUACUCGGAGGGGGUGACUUCUGUGUCACCUUGAGUAAAUCAUGGUGCUCACAGCAGUCGUGCGGGCCCUGUGCCCUGUGAACAGUCUAUGCGGACUGAAUUGGUUUUGCAAGGCAUGACGAAACAUGACGUCGCUGCUGGUCGCGAGUGUGAGGGCGUAGUCCUCGUGGCUGCGCCGAGCGGUUUGCCAGUAGUGACGUAAUGAUCAAUGGAGACGGUAGCUGGCAUUGGUAUUGCGCGGCGAGAGGUGAAAUUCUGCGACCCCCGCAAGACCUCCUAAAGCGAAGGCGUCUGCCAAGGACGUGUUCACCAAUCAUGAACGAAAGUCAGAGGAUCGAAGGCGAUCAGAUACCGCCCUAGUUCUGACCCUAAACGAUGCCAACCAUCAAUCCGCGUGAGCACCCUAUCUAACGGGCUCGGCGGGCAGCUCCCUUCUUCCGGGAAACCAGAGUUUUUGGGUUCCGGGGGGAGUCUGGUUGCAAAGCU